Molecule: ribosomal RNA, 604 nt
Filed under: Lichtheimia sp. THN12
Lineage: Eukaryota; Fungi; Mucoromycota; Mucoromycetes; Mucorales; Lichtheimiaceae
Description: eukaryotic LSU rRNA
Rfam family: 5.8S ribosomal RNA (bases 228-381)
Source: RNAcentral
UUUGAUCUCUAGUUGGCAUAGAGACCCUCCUUUUAGGAGACUUGUGCCACUAAGAUCUAGGCUGCUUGAAAAGAGACGUAUGGACCCUUCUUUCAGGAGACCUAUGUCUCGAGUCAAAGCAAGCAAGGCAAGCCUUUGGGGCUCUAGUACUAACUAUCCCCAAAGGUGUUUAUUCUUCUCGUGUAAACCAUGAUGUACGAAAAAAGUUAGUUGUUAACUUAAAAAACAACUCUUGGCAAUGGAUCUCUUGGUUCUCGCAUCGAUGAAGAGCGUAGCAAAGUGCGAUAAUUAUUGCGACUUGCAUUCAUAGCGAAUCAUCGAGUUCUCGAACGCAUCUUGCGCCUAGUAGUCAAUCUACUAGGCACAGUUGUUUCAGUAUCUGCAACUACCAAUCAGUUCAACUUGGUUCUUUGAACCUAAGCGAGCUGGAAAUGGGCUUGUGUUGAUGGCAUUCAGUUGCUGUCAUGGCCUUAAAUACAUUUAGUCCUAGGCAAUUGGCUUUAGUCAUUUGCCGGAUGUAGACUCUAGAGUGCCUGAGGAGCAACGACUUGGUUAGUGAGUUCAUAAUUCCAAGUCAAUCAGUCUUCUCUUGAACUAGGUCUUA